UAAGGAAUAUUGGACAAUGGUGGCAACACUGAUCCAGCCAUGCCGCGUGAAGGAUGAAGGCCCUAUGGGUUGUAAACUUCUUUUGUACGGGAAAAAAAUGCUCUUCGUGAAAGAGUACUGAUGGUACCGUAAGAAUAAGGAUCGGCUAACUCCGUGCCAGCAGCCGCGGUAAUACGGAGGAUCCAAGCGUUAUCCGGAUUCAUUGGGUUUAAAGGGUGCGUAGGCGGAAUUGUAAGUCAGUGGUGAAAGCCCUCAGCUUAACUGAGGAACUGCCAUUGAUACUGCAAAUCUUGAGUACAUUUGAUGUGGGCGGAAUGUGUCAUGUAGCGGUGAAAUGCUUAGAUAUGACACAGAACACCGAUUGCGAAGGCAGCUCACAAAACUGUAACUGACGCUGAGGCACGAAAGCGUGGGUAUCAAACAGGAUUAGAUACCCCCGUAGUCC
RNAcentral lists this ribosomal RNA (445 nucleotides) under uncultured bacterium. Its description in RNAcentral is "bacterial SSU rRNA". It matches the Rfam family "Bacterial small subunit ribosomal RNA", at positions 355 to 796 of the family's 1533-position model. The record is from RNAcentral.